Non-coding RNA from Ailuropoda melanoleuca (giant panda), 5204 nucleotides. Lineage: Eukaryota; Metazoa; Chordata; Mammalia; Carnivora; Ursidae. The record is from RefSeq and is a predicted model, not a curated record.
GCCCUGCGGGAGGAGCUGCAGCGAGGGCUCCAGGAGAGGACCCGGCGGCUGCGGGCCCUCGGGGCCAGGAACACCCAGAACUUCCAGCAGCUACUGUGGCCCCCCAGCGCUGAGGAGCCUUCGGCUGGAGAGGAGCGCUCACCCUUCUCGGCCCCCUCCAGUCCUUGCUGAAUCCUCAAAGGCACGAUUACAGAGAUGAGGAUUAAGGAAAAGCAAGCCGGCAACCCGCAGGCCAGCAAGCGCAGAACAGAGGUAGUUCCAAGAAAGGCCCAGAACUUUGCCUCGGGCCCUGGGAGGUCAGACACACAGACACACGCAGCAGCUUCAACCCCACCAGGAGGCAUGUUAUUUCUUCUUCCUUCCUCUGAGUCCACUGCCUGGCCAUCGUCAGAGAGCCAGGUCCUGAGGGUCAAGCAGCAAGAAGGCCCCAUUCUUCCGGAAGAACGAUUCAAUGCGGCACAUCUUACAGGAGACCAGUUCUUGCUUCACCGGGGGGCCUGCGAAAAGAUGUCAGAAGCCAGGAAUGGGUCCUGGGAAAGGGAACUUGCGGAGCAUGGGAGCCCAGCCUACAGAGCCCUGGGAAUCUGCCUGUAUUGUACCCACUUUGGAAGCGUGAAGGAAUAAAAGGUGCUUCUGAGGAACACCGGCUGGGGGUCCAGACCAGCAGUGAGGGCAGAACUGGUCAGUCUGCCAUGUACCACUGUUUCCCCCACCUUGGGCUCCUCCAUAGACCAGGUGGUGGGACACCCAGCACUGCUUGUCACAGGGACAGACAGAGCUAGACGUCUCUGGGAGAGAGAGGGCUUCCUUCUACCUCCUGUUCUCCUGGGACUUGCUUCCUGCUUUUGUGGGAAAAUUCCUCUUUUCCCUUUCCUUUAGGACCCUGGGGAAAGUGGGGGAAAUUUUUAAGCAAAACGUCAACUGUGUUUAUCCCCAACCAUCACCUUUUCCGCCCAGGCACUCAAGCGUGGGGAGAAAAACCCAUGACUGAGCAGCCUUGGUUGCAAUUCAUGGCCACAAAGAGCAAGGGACAGCAUCACCCAGCGGCCCCGCAGUACUCCCAGGCACGCUCCCUUCCCUAGGCCGUUAAACUCUGCAUCUCCAACUACAACGGCCUCCCCCUCUCCUCCCAGAGGAUGACCUCGACUCUCAGCCUCGCAGAAAAAGCAGACUCGGUCCAGAUGGAGAGCCUUCCCACCAACACCAUCUCCCUACCCCUCUCUGUGCCCCCUGCCUCUCCUGUCAGAUUCCAGCAUCUGGAGCUCCCUGGAUAUUCCUCUUUCCAGAAGUUCUGCCGCAGCGUAUCCAUGUUGAGUUGCCGCGACAUGGUAGCAAGGGAAGGAGCGGUACAGCUGAGGGGUAAGCAACAGCAGGCAGAGGCCUUCUGACAGCAGGGGGCUGCCACGGACAGUCACCUGGCAACCAAGCCUCACCUCACACAGGGCCAGGGUUCUACUUGCCAUGCCUUUAGCAGACCUCACAUGCCUUGAUCCAGGGGCAACCUCAGGCCAGGGCCCACCAGCUGAGAACCUUGAUCUCCAAACCUCUUGCAGGACCCAGGCUUGGUCCGUUAUCACAGGCUUCUAGGUUUCCUGUGUUUCUGCUUCCACCCGUUGGGGUCAGGUCCCUUCCCAGCCCAAGAGAGACUGAAGUGGGGGAGCCAAGGGCUUGGGCGCAAGCUUCCUCGCGCGCCUCCCCACCAGGGCUGGUCACUGUUGAUUCAAAGGACCCAUCCCUGAGUUACGACCUGCUGGCACCAUCUUCCUGGUCCAGCUUUUCUAUGCCUGUAUCUUUGACAGAACCUUUCCCAGCCCCACCAAUCUAAUCCCAACGGCCUCAUCCCAUGCGAGUCCUUUGUAGCACCCAGCCUCAGUUUGGACAGAAACGAGAACGUUACUUUAAUUUAACAUCAACAAUGACACUGUGUAACAGUACAGGGAAGAGGUAGUGGAGAGAAGACACUCGGGCUUCCUGUUCCCUAACCAGCCUUGACUUUAAUGGCAGAGCCCCAGCAACCUGGAAGCACCUCAGCUAGCCUCUCAGUGGAGUGAGAAGGGGCAGGGGGCUGGAACUGGAAAUCGGAGGCUCACAACUUAGAGAAGGGCUGACGGCAAGCCCGGGGAGAGGCUGCAAGGCUGUGGGGAGGGCCCUAGCGCAGGUCCUCGGCCGUGAACAUGCCCCUGGCCCUGCGCAGGAUGGAGUCCUUGGCAGCAUCAUAGGGGUGCUCCUUGGACGGGAUCUCCAGAACGGCUGGAAUGGAGCGCUGGUGGGCGUCGAGCGCAUGCCGCACCAUCUCUGCGAUGUACUGGUUGAUGAGGAUAAUGCCGAUGUCAUCCCGGUUUAGAAACUGCCUGUUGGGAGAGAUGAGAAGGGAUUCCAGGACAGCCCACUCAGAGGUGGUGAGGCUGGGCUGCAGAGGGGAAUGGGCUUGACCCAGGAACUGCAGAGUUCAAGGGCAAAGGCUGCUUGCUAAACUCUCUCCAUUCUAACCAGGAUCAACUUGUUUCAAAAAUCUAAGGACCCUGGCUGUCAGGGUUGGCUUCUACCUUCCCUGCUUGGAAGGCCCCCAAGUGAACUGGUGCUGAAGAUCAAGGCACAUGCUGGGAUAUUCUGUAUGCUGCGUUUGUGUAAAAAAGAGAGAGGAUAAGAAUAUGCACGUCUGUCCUUGUGUAUGUACCUGAAGAAAAAGCAGAAAGGGCAAGAAAUGAGGACUUCAAAUGCAAGGUCUCAGCAGAAAGUAGGAUACGGUCCUGAGAUUCUGCCGGCUGUGCUCAGGACAGUGGGAAAUUCUAAGAGGAUGGUUGUGAGCCUCUAAGGAACAUGAAAAUGCAAGAAAGCCCGACCCCACUGCCUAGGUGUUCCGUCAUAUGACAGAUGAGCUCGUGGACCUGACAUAGCCCGGGUUCUCCCAAGCCCCAGAAGAGAACUUGGAGCACAGAGGCCUCCUCCGGAAGGGCGGCCGGACCGACCUCCUUGACCCUCGACGUCGGCGGUCUGGAAGCCCAGCGCAGGCCCCGCCCGCAGGGUCCCCGCGCCGCCCCCUACUCCCCGCGCUCCCACCCAAGGCAGAGGGUCUCAUUCAGGCCUCGCGGGCUACCGUACCGGAAAGUGUCUUCGAUCUCAUUGAUGGUUGUAUCCUUCUCCACCACCAGGAAAUUAGGCUGGCGGUUCUUGUUAAGCUCCCCUAUGCCGCCCAGCAGGAAGCCAGUCACCGUGUCCUCGUCUCCGAUCACCGCAAUUAGCUUCCCCCUCCCCGCCAUUCUCGCGAGCAGGUCCGCGACAGCCCGAAGUCACGGGAGCCCCACCUCCGCAGUGCGCUGCCUUUUCGACCGCGCCUCCACCCACCCCUUAGACAUGCGCAGUUCAGCACUCCGCCUCCCGGGACAUGCGCAUUAAUAGUAAAACGGUCUCAAUUUGAAUACGCCUGCGCCAUAAAGAGAGGCCCGAACCUGGGGACUACGAUUCCCAGAAGUGCGCGCGGCACGACGGGGUCACGCAAGCGCGUUCCAUCGCUCGUUCAAUAAACCUGUUGAGCCUUUUGCUGACAGAUACCUAGACCUCAGAAGAGAAGAUACGGCUUCUGUCCUCCAGGGCGAGUUCCGGGUCUGUAUCGUGCAUGAGUCUGAGGACCAGUCUUGAAGGCCCUGUCGCUGGUUCUUUCAAGUAUUCCACCACAACCCCAGACCUCCCCAGCCAGAUGGUGGCCACCCAUAGAAAGCACGAGCACAACAGCCAAGCCUCUGCGAAAGGCCACACUUUAUUUGGAGUUUUCCACCAUGCCUGCUUUGCUGCAGUCCACAGUGAAGGAGUUCUUCUGGCCCACAAAGGCCUGGGACAGCCCCGGACCCCGUGUCACCACCUUGCUGGCAUCUGAGGAGAACUUAGGGAUGGAGCUGUAGCUGGAGCCACGGCUGGAGGAUGACUUGGUCACGGUCUCCACCAGAACCGUGGAAGUUUCGUGAAGGCUGUGGCCUCCAGACAGCCGGGGACCUGAGGGACAGAGUGGGGUAAGCAUGAGCUGGGGGAGAGGCCUGCCUUCCGUAGGCCGCAGGUGCUCGGCCCCGCAGCGACAGCCCUGUGGGCCACGUCCCUUCCCCCGCUGCGGCACCCGGCAUUCCCAGUGAGCCUGGCUGCAUGCACGUGCUCCAGCUCGUCCUGAGGUCCUGGCCUCCGAUGGCUCCAGCCCUCGCCUGGCUUGGUCUGGGAACCCAAGUCACAGGGAGGCCAGAAACAUAGACGGCAGGAGGGCAGAAAGUUAAGCUAAAGCUUGGGAGCCACUGCAGGGAAAAGAUUAAUAAGCGAUGGACAAGAGGAAGAAUUUGUCAAGAAUGAUUCUCCGUGGCUGCACAGAAUGGUGUGUUGUGUGCGGCCUGCCCACCUUGUUCCUGCUCUAGGCACUCACCAGUAGUGCCCCCCUCAAGCCCAGGACCAUAAGCUGACACCAAGCCUGGGUCCCCAGCCUGGCUCUGCUCCCCAACGCGGAUCUUGAAGGGACUGCCAGGGAUGUGGGCACCGUUGAACUUGACAUCAAUAGAGUGGACGCCGUUCUCAUGGGGGAUGAAGCGGAUGGUGUGCUUGUCUGUGGGGCAGAAGGUUGGUCUUAGGAUGGCAGAGGGGCCUACCCCUGGGCACAUACCUGGAGGCUGGUGACGGUGAGGCGGCGAGCAUCAUCGGAGAGAGAAGCCACAGGAACCACAAAGGGGCUGUCUGAACACCUCCGGCCAGCUGCCCGUGCUCUCCCCGUCCUGUCCCAGAGGACGGGAGGCCCAGCUUCCCUGGGAGGCCCCUGGCCCCGCACGGCCGUGCUUACCCUCCUGCCGGGUGAUGCUGCCGAAGGAGCCCAGCCGCUCCCGGCCCAGGAAGUCCCCGAAGACGGCGGGAAAGGGGUCUCCACCGACCUGGGUGGACUCCUCCACCCGCACCUCGCGCUUGGUCUCCCCGCCCCGCGUCUUGCUGAUCUCCGUGCGUUCCGUGCGGGUGUACGUGUGGCUGCUGCGGGUGAAGGUCCGCGUCAGGCGCUCCUGGGCGGACACCAUCUGGAACCAGUUCCCUGGGGGAUGUGCAGCAGCACAGCCACUGUCCGGGGCCUUGGAGCUUACCAGCACGUGGAAGGGGCUGUUGGGGAUGUGCUCGCCUCCAAAGCGAAUGGUGAUGACGUACUUGCCCGGCUCGGGCGCCGUGUAGUAGAUGUCAAAGGUACCGUC